RNAcentral lists this unclassified non-coding RNA (252 nucleotides) under plant metagenome. Its description in RNAcentral is "partial contains small subunit ribosomal RNA, internal transcribed spacer 1, and 5.8S ribosomal RNA". The stretch from base 1 to 55 matches the Rfam family "Eukaryotic small subunit ribosomal RNA", at positions 1778 to 1831 of the family's 1831-position model. The record is from RNAcentral.
GGAAGUAAAAAGUCGUAACAAGGUCUCCGUAGGUGAACCUGCGGAGGGAUCAUUACAGAGUUCUCGCCCUCGCGGGUAGAUCUCCCACCCACUGUUAUCGUUACUGUGUUGCUUUGGCGGGCCGCCGGGCCCCGCUCGGCCGCCGGCUCCGGCUGGCGCGCGCCCGCCAGAGGCCCAGCAAACUCUGAAUGUUAGUGUCGUCUGAGUACUAUAUAAUAGUUAAAACUUUCAACAACGGAUCUCUUGGUUCUG